CAACAGUGUGCUACUAAUCAGCCU
Molecule: non-coding RNA, 24 nt
Filed under: Arabidopsis thaliana (thale cress)
Lineage: Eukaryota; Viridiplantae; Streptophyta; Magnoliopsida; Brassicales; Brassicaceae
Source: RNAcentral